CAGCCGCCACGGUAAUACAGAGGGUGCAAGCGUUAAUCGGAAUUACUGGGCGUAAAGCGCGCGUAGGUGGUUCGCCAAGUUGGAUGUGAAAUCCCCGGGCUCAACCUGGGAACUGCAUCCAAAACUGGCGAGCUAGAGUAUGGUAGAGGGUGGUGGAAUUUCCUGUGUAGCGGUGAAAUGCGUAGAUAUAGGAAGGAACAUCAGUGGCGAAGGCGACCACCUGGACUGAUACUGACACUGAGGUGCGAAAGCGUGGGGAGCAAACAGGAUUAGAGACCCCAGUAGUCCCUGUCUCUUAUAC
RNAcentral lists this ribosomal RNA (301 nucleotides) under uncultured bacterium. RNAcentral's name for it is "partial 16S ribosomal RNA". It matches the Rfam family "Bacterial small subunit ribosomal RNA", at positions 509 to 807 of the family's 1533-position model. The record is from RNAcentral.